GAUGAACGCUGGCGGCGUGCCUAAUACAUGCAAGUCGAGCGAACGGACGAGAAGCUUGCUUCUCUGAUGUUAGCGGCGGACGGGUGAGUAACACGUGGAUAACCUACCUAUAAGACUGGGAUAACUUCGGGAAACCGUAGCUAAUACCGGAUAAUAUUUUGAACCGCAUGGUUCAAAAGUGAAAGACGGUCUUGCUGUCACUUAUAGAUGGAUCCGCGCUGCAUUAGCUAGUUGGUAAGGUAACGGCUUACCAAGGCAACGAGGCAUAGACGACCUGAGAGAGUGAUCGGCCACACUGGAACUGAGACACGGUCCAGACUCCUACGGGAGGCAGCAGUAGGGAAUCUUCCGCAAUGGGCGAAAGCCUGACGGAGCAACGCCGCGUGAGUGAUGAAGGUCUUCGGAUCGUAAAACUCUGUUAUUAGGGAAGAACAUAUGUGUAAGUAACUGUGCACAUCUUGACGGUACCUAAUCAGAAAGCCACGGCUAACUACGUG
Molecule: ribosomal RNA, 497 nt
Filed under: uncultured bacterium
Lineage: Bacteria
Description: partial 16S ribosomal RNA
Rfam family: Bacterial small subunit ribosomal RNA
Source: RNAcentral